This 495-nucleotide ribosomal RNA is filed under the name uncultured bacterium. RNAcentral describes it as "partial 16S ribosomal RNA". It matches the Rfam family "Bacterial small subunit ribosomal RNA", at positions 28 to 507 of the family's 1533-position model. The record is from RNAcentral.
GACGAACGCUGGCGGCGUGCCUAAUACAUGCAAGUAGAACGCUGAAGGAGGAGCUUGCUCCUCUGGAUGAGUUGCGAACGGGUGAGUAACGCGUAGGUAACCUGCCUGGUAGCGGGGGAUAACUAUUGGAAACGAUAGCUAAUACCGCAUAAUAGCAGUUGUUGCAUGACAACUGUUUGAAAGGUGCAAUUGCACCACUACCAGAUGGACCUGCGUUGUAUUAGCUAGUUGGUGGGGUAACGGCUCACCAAGGCGACGAUACAUAGCCGACCUGAGAGGGUGAUCGGCCACACUGGGACUGAGACACGGCCCAGACUCCUACGGGAGGCAGCAGUAGGGAAUCUUCGGCAAUGGACGGAAGUCUGACCGAGCAACGCCGCGUGAGGGAAGAGGGUUGUCGGAUCGUAAAGCUCGGUUGUAAGAGAAGAACGAGUGUGAGAGUGGAAAGUUCACACUGUGACGGUAUCUUACCAGAAAGGGACGGCUAACUACGUG